Rana temporaria (common frog) is the source of this 303-nucleotide long non-coding RNA. RefSeq lists it as uncharacterized. The transcript is spliced from 3 exons. NCBI's taxonomy places the organism in Eukaryota, Metazoa, Chordata, Amphibia, Anura, Ranidae. The record is from RefSeq and is a predicted model, not a curated record.
UCUGUGUGCUUUUUUUUAAAAAUGUAUGCAGAUUCAUACCUCGUAGCUCCGUAGUAACUGUACAUGCGAUCAUGUGAUCCAUGGUCCGGCCCGCCUCUCUCUUCCUCUGUCCUCUCACAUCCCUCGUCUCAAAGUCUCUUCUGAUCUCAGCCCCGCCUGCCUCUCUUGUGAUCUGUUACUUUAGCUAUAGACGAUGGGCGGGGCUGAGAACGGACAUCAGGGGAGAUGAGAGGCAGGUCCGAGCAUGGAGUCACAUGAGGGGAAAGUAAUAUACACACGGAGACAUGAGGCAGAUUUUGACAA